RNAcentral lists this ribosomal RNA (253 nucleotides) under uncultured bacterium. RNAcentral describes it as "partial 16S ribosomal RNA". It matches the Rfam family "Bacterial small subunit ribosomal RNA", at positions 524 to 776 of the family's 1533-position model. The record is from RNAcentral.
UACGUAGGGUGCGGGCGUUAAUCGGAAUUACUGGGCGUAAAGCGUGCGCAGGUGGUUGUUUAAGACAGAUGUGAAAUCCCCGGGCUUAACCUGGGAACUGCGUUUGUGACUGGACAGCUAGAGUGCGGCAGAGGGGGGUGGAAUUCCACGUGUAGCAGUGAAAUGCGUAGAGAUGUGGAGGAACACCGAUGGCGAAGGCAGCCCCCUGGGCCAGCACUGACGCUCAUGCACGAAAGCGUGGGGAGCAAACAGG